Molecule: ribosomal RNA, 254 nt
Filed under: uncultured bacterium
Lineage: Bacteria
Description: partial 16S ribosomal RNA
Rfam family: Bacterial small subunit ribosomal RNA
Source: RNAcentral
UACGUAGGGUGCGAGCGUUGUCCGGAAUUAUUGGGCGUAAAGAGCUCGUAGGCGGUGUGUCACGUCGGCCGUGAAAACCUGCAGCUUAACUGUGGGCGUGCGGUCGAUACGGGCAUCACUGGAGUUCGGCAGGGGAGACUGGAAUUCCUGGUGUAGCGGUGAAAUGCGCAGAUAUCAGGAGGAACACCGGUGGCGAAGGCGGGUCUCUGGGCCGAUACUGACGCUGAGGAGCGAAAGCGUGGGAAGCAAACAGG